RNAcentral lists this ribosomal RNA (492 nucleotides) under uncultured bacterium. RNAcentral describes it as "partial 16S ribosomal RNA". It matches the Rfam family "Bacterial small subunit ribosomal RNA", at positions 29 to 507 of the family's 1533-position model. The record is from RNAcentral.
AGUGAACGCUGGCGGUAGGCCUAACACAUGCAAGUCGAACGGCAGCACAGUAAGAGCUUGCUCUUACGGGUGGCGAGUGGCGGACGGGUGAGGUAUACAUCGGAAUCUACUCUUUCGGGGAGGAUAACGUAGGGAAACUUACGCUAAUAUCGCAUACGACCUACGGGUGAAGGCGGGGGAUCUUCGCACCUGGCGCGAUUGAAUGAGCCGAUGUGGGAUUAGCUAGUUGGCGGGGUAAAGGCCAACCAAGGCGACGAUCCGUAGCCGGUCUGGGAGGAUGGUCAGCGACACUGGAAGUGGGACAGGGUCAAUACUCCUACGGGACGGCGCAGUCGGGUAUAUUAGACAGUGGGCGCGAGUCUGAUCCAGUCAUAGGGCGUCGGUUGAAGAGACGCUCGGGUUGUAAAGCCGGUCUGUUGGGAAAGAAAAGCAGCAGGUUAAGACGACGCUGUUCUGACGGUAACCAAAGAAUAAGCACCGGCUAACUUCGUG